UCAAGUCUGCUGUUAAAGGCUGGAGCUUAACUCCGGUAGAGCAGUGGAAACUGGUGUGCUAGAGGGCGACAGGGGUAGAGGGAAUUCCCAGUGUAGCGGUGAAAUGCGUAGAGAUUGGGAAGAACACCGGUGGCGAAAGCGCUCUACUGGGUCGCACCUGACCCUCAGGGACGAAAGCUAAGGUAGCGAAAGGGAUUAGAUACCCCUGUAGUCUUAGCCGUAAACGAUGGAUACUAGGCGUGGUUUGUAUCGACCCAAGCCGUGCCGAAGCUAACGCGUUAAGUAUCCCGCCUGGGGAGUACGCACGCAAGUGUGAAACUCAAAGGAAUUGACGGGGGCCCGCACAAGCGGUGGAGGAUGUGGUUUAAUUCGAUGCAACGCGAAGAACCUUACCAGGGCUUGACAUCCCGCGAAUCCCCAUGAAAGUGGGGAGUGCCUUCGGGAGCGCGGAGACAGGUGGUGCAUGGCUGUCGUCAGCUCGUGUCGUGAGAUGUUGGGUUAAGUCCCGCAACGAGCGCAACCCUCGUCCUUAGUUGCCAGCAUUAAGUUGGGCACUCUAGGGAGACUGCCGGUGACAAACCGGAGGAAGGUGAGGAUGACGUCAAGUCAGCAUGCCCCUUAUGCUCUGGGCAACACACGUCCUACAAUGGUCGGGACAAAGGGGAGCGAGCUCGCGAGAGUCAGCGAAUCCCAGCAAACUCGGCCUCAGUUCAGAUGGCAGGCUGCA
This 727-nucleotide ribosomal RNA is filed under the name uncultured cyanobacterium. RNAcentral describes it as "bacterial SSU rRNA". It matches the Rfam family "Bacterial small subunit ribosomal RNA", at positions 583 to 1309 of the family's 1533-position model. Lineage: Bacteria; Bacillati; Cyanobacteriota. The record is from RNAcentral.